UAGCCGACCUGAGAGGGUAAUCGGCCACAUUGGGACUGAGACACGGCCCAAACUCCUACGGGAGGCAGCAGUAGGGAAUCUUCCACAAUGGACGAAAGUCUGAUGGAGCAACGCCGCGUGAGUGAAGAAGGGUUUCGGCUCGUAAAACUCUGUUGUUAAAGAAGAACAUAUCUGAGAGUAACUGUUCAGGUAUUGACGGUAUUUAACCAGAAAGCCACGGCUAACUACGUGCCAGCAGCCGCGGUAAUACGUAGGUGGCAAGCGUUGUCCGGAUUUAUUGGGCGUAAAGCGAGCGCAGGCGGUUUUUUAAGUCUGAUGUGAAAGCCUUCGGCUUAACCGAAGAAGUGCAUCGGAAACUGGGAAACUUGAGUGCAGAAGAGGACAGUGGAACUCCAUGUGUAGCGGUGAAAUGCGUAGAUAUAUGGAAGAACACCAGUGGCGAAGGCGGCUGUCUGGUCUGUAACUGACGCUGAGGCUCGAAAGUAUGGGUAGCAAACAGGAUUAGAUACCCUGGUAGUCCAUACCGUAAACGAUGAAUGCUAAGUGUUGGAGGGUUUCCGCCCUUCAGUGCUGCAGCUAACGCAUUAAGCAUUCCGCCUGGGGAGUACGGCCGCAAGGCUGAAACUCAAAGGAAUUGACGGGGGCCCGCACAAGCGGUGGAGCAUGUGGUUUAAUUCGAAGCUACGCGAAGAACCUUACCAGGUCUUGACAUACUACGCUAACCUGAGAGAUCAGGCGUUCCCUUCGGGGACGUGGAUACAGGUGGUGCAUGGUUGUCGUCAGCUCGUGUCGUGAGAUGUUGGGUUAAGUCCCGCAACGAGCGCAACCCUUAUUAUCAGUUGCCAGCAUUAAGUUGGGCACUCUGGUGAGACUGCCGGUGACAAACCGGAGGAAGGUGGGGAUGACGUCAAAUCAUCAUGCCCCUUAUGACCUGGGCUACACACGUGCUACAAUGGAUGGUACAACGAGUUGCGAACUCGCGAGAGCAAGCUAAUCUCUUAAAGCCAUUCUCAGUUCGGAUUGUAGGCUGCAACUCGCCUACAUGAAGUCGGAAUCGCUAGUAAUCGCGGAUCAGCAUGCCGCGGUGAAUACGUUCCCGGGCCUUGUACACACCGCCCGUCACACCAUGAGAGUUUGUAACACCCAAAG
This 1149-nucleotide ribosomal RNA is filed under the name Lactiplantibacillus pentosus. RNAcentral describes it as "bacterial SSU rRNA". It matches the Rfam family "Bacterial small subunit ribosomal RNA", at positions 284 to 1426 of the family's 1533-position model. The record is from RNAcentral. Lineage: Bacteria; Bacillati; Bacillota; Bacilli; Lactobacillales; Lactobacillaceae.